CUUUCAACCAACAAACACAGAUUUGGCUCAGUCUACACUGACUUUAAAAAAUUUCUUUCUUUCUGUUACAGUGAAAUAUACCUAGGAAUCUCCUAAUAUUCUUCCAAGUUUUGCUUUUGAGCUCAUCUCCUCCCUCCUCAGGGAUCUUAAUGUACUGAUCAUUUCCUCUUUCUUGUGUCUUCAAUUUCUCCCUACUUUAUUCUUCCCAGAAGAAUUGAAAAACUCGAGUCUCUUCUAUCACAAAACAAACACAAAACAUCUGCUUUCUUUACCUGCCCAGUACUCUGUAACUUGCUGUAAUCUGGCUUCUGUGUCCACUCAGUUACUGAAAUUAUUUUCACCAAGAUCACCAAAUGUCAUUAUUAAAUCUAAUAGAUACUUUUCAACUUUUUCUAAAUGGAACCACUGUCACUCUCUCUCUCUCCUUUAAAUACUCCUUGCUUUGUCUUCUAAGUUACCCACUCCUUUUUUUUUAUUUCAUAUUUUUCUGAUAGCCACUAUACAUCUACUUUGCAUGGUCUUCUGCUUCUUCUACCAGGAAUUUCAGCUCCACCUCUUUCCCUGCCUUGUUACUUGCACUCUUGCUUUAUCCACAUCACCCCUACUCUUCCUAAAAUCAGUUUUGUUCUUACACACUCCAAGAAGUUUUUCCUGAAUUUUGAAAUGUGUGUUCUGUUCAAGUUUGUAUGCUUUCAUAACACAUUUUCUUCAAAUAGCGCUCACCACUGUGGUAUUGUAAUCGCCUCUAUACACACCUGUUUUCCUCAUGUUAUUGCUGCUCAAAUUAUGGCUUGGAAAUGCUCAGCAUCAGCUUCGCUUGAGAACUCCUUAGAAAUGCAGAAUCGUGGGCACCACCUCAGACCUACUAAAUCAGAACCUGCCUUUAAACAAAAUCCCAAAGGAUUAAUAUCCACAUUAAAAUUAGGAAUCUUGGUGUGGUCAUAGUAGGCAUUUGAUAAAGAUUUGUUCAGUGAAAUAGAAAAAUCCCUAUGUACCCAAAAAAUCUGGACAGAAGAAAGCAAAUAGGAUGGAUUGUCUUAAGGUUAAAGUGAUAUAUUUAGAUGGAGAAGAAAAUGGCAACCCACUCCAGUGUUCUUGCUUGGAGAAUCCCAGAGACGGGGGAACCUGGUGGGCUGCCGUCUAUAGGGUUGCACAGAGUUGGACAUGACUGAAGUGACUUGGCAGCAGCAGCAGCAUAUAUUUAGAAAGACACAACUUAAAAGUACUGCGGAAUUGAGAAGGCUCUUUUGAUCAGGUUCAGAAAACAAUUGCACACAGCUGCUCUGCAUCUACUUAAUGCAAAGAUGAGGGGGUGUGAGUGAGUGAGUGCACGUGUAACAGAGAGAGGGAAAGAGAGAGAGAGAAAGAAACAGAAAGAAGACGGAAAAUAAAUGUAGUUUAGCUAGUGAGCUUUGGAAAUUUUCACUGGUUAAAUUUCCUCUGACUGCAGAGCCCCAUGGAGUCACUGUCUCAAUGGAAACUCCUAGAAGAUGCCGAAUUCAGAAACUCCUCCUAAGGCAACACCAGGUUAAAAAUAGCUGAAUUGUGGCAAUUCAUGUGACUCAACCUAUUCAUCUUGCUGAAUAGAAAUUUCCAAGAUGUAGAUGAGGAACAAUAAUUUUCCUCCAUCCUAUGGUUUUGGCUGAGCAUCCCUGUAAUUAAAUGACAGAUUAACAUGAGAAAAACAAACAGAAGUUUAAUGACAUUUAUACUUCCUGUAUGGGCUUCACAAGUGAUUCAGUGAAGAAUCUGCCUGCCAGUGCAGUAGAUGCUGAUUCGAUCCCUGGGUCAGGAAGAUGCUCUGGAGUAGGAAGUGGCAACCUGCUCCAGUAUUU
Long non-coding RNA from Bubalus bubalis (water buffalo), 1835 nucleotides. RefSeq lists it as uncharacterized. The transcript is spliced from 3 exons. The record is from RefSeq and is a predicted model, not a curated record. Lineage: Eukaryota; Metazoa; Chordata; Mammalia; Artiodactyla; Bovidae.